GACGAACGCUGGCGGCGUGCCUAAUACAUGCAAGUAGAGCGCUGAAGGAGGAGCUUGCUUCUCUGGAUGAGUUGCGAACGGGUGAGUAACGCGUAGGUAACCUGCCUGGUAGCGGGGGAUAACUAUUGGAAACGAUAGCUAAUACCGCAUAAUAGCAGUUAUUGCAUGAUAACUGUUUGAAAGGUGCAAUUGCACCACUACCAGAUGGACCUGCGUUGUAUUAGCUAGUUGGUGGGGUAACGGCUCACCAAGGCGACGAUACGUAGCCGACCUGAGAGGGUGAUCGGCCACACUGGGACUGAGACACGGCCCAGACUCCUACGGGAGGCAGCAGUAGGGAAUCUUCGGCAAUGGACGGAAGUCUGACCGAGCAACGCCGCGUGAGUGAAGAAGGUUUUCGGAUCGUAAAGCUCUGUUGUAAGAGAAGAACGAGUGUGAGAGUGGAAAGUUCACACUGUGACGGUAUCUUACCAGAAAGGGACGGCUAACUACGUG
Molecule: ribosomal RNA, 495 nt
Filed under: uncultured bacterium
Lineage: Bacteria
Description: partial 16S ribosomal RNA
Rfam family: Bacterial small subunit ribosomal RNA
Source: RNAcentral